Molecule: long non-coding RNA, 1169 nt
Organism: Homo sapiens (human)
Lineage: Eukaryota; Metazoa; Chordata; Mammalia; Primates; Hominidae
Product: long intergenic non-protein coding RNA 237
Source: Ensembl
GCCGGCGCUCCCUCCCUCGCUCGCGCUCCCUGUACGUCGCCGCGUUUACCAGCGCGUUUUGUUCCCCUGUCGGAUUCCCGGCCGAGGGGCUGUAACCGUGUUCUCCUCCGAUGGACGCUAAUCAAAAGAGACUGGGGCAGCAUGAAUGUGCUGGAAGAUUAGAGGCUGCUGAUGCUGAAGGAAGGAGAAACGAGGAGGAAGUGUCCCUGUGGACAAGUCAUCUCCCUUCAUUUAAGCCAGGCCAGUAGUCCGGGAGACAUUCUGAAUGAUGCAUUAUCCUAGGCACCAGAAAGUAUCUAACAUUCUCAUGGACAGCAGGGAAAAAUGAGCACAUGAGACAGGGGAAGAUUCCAGCACCUGUGAACAUGUUUGUGCAGGUUUCCAGUCAGUACAUGGAUAUCCCUCAAGCCUUUGAAUCCAGUCUCCUGUGUUGUGAUUGGACCGUUUGUCAUUAGGUUUCCAGUGGCAGAGUAAUGCUGUGGGAGAACUGGCUACGAUGGCCGCAGGAGGUGAAUUAAGUAUUGUUGUGUUUUUAGUAGAACCACUAAAGGAAGAUCUGCAGGCAAGUUGGAUGAGUAUAAGAGCCAAAGAUUGACAAGACUUCCUCAGAUGCUCCUACUGACCAGUGGGGGCACUUCUACAGCUCCCCGAAUAUGUUCUCCCUGCAACCCCCACCACUUUUUAAUUAAAUGGCCAGAACUGCCUUUUUGUAUCAAAACUUAUUUUAGUCUAUCAAUCAAAGGCUUCUAUAGCCCACCUCAUGGCAAAGGAUAUCAGAGAGGUAAAAGAUAAUUGUUUUGACAUAUUUAUUAUCACAACUAGCGACUCUUUCUGCAUUCACAUUGGCUGGUAUGCAGAAAAGGGUGCUUUACAGGAUUCUUGGAAAUGUGUAGUGGAUGCUGGCUCUAGGGGAGGCAGAAUAGAGUGUGGGUUCUGCCAUGGGUCACAUCCGGGUUUUAAUUCUGCCUCUGCCACAUGACCUUGAGCACACUGGAAAACCCUAUUAGAUGUGCAAGAAGGCUUCCCCAUCUGUAAAGGUGGGUGACUUAGCAACUUUAGCAAUGCUUAAGUCACCCGGUUGUUGUGAGUAAUACAUAAGUUAAUGUAUGCUAACUUUCUAGAAAGUUUCCUGGCACAAAGUUGUAUUUAAUAAAUGAUUUUUAAAACAA